RNAcentral lists this ribosomal RNA (2126 nucleotides) under Salmonella enterica subsp. enterica serovar Typhi. RNAcentral's name for it is "bacterial LSU rRNA". It matches the Rfam family "Bacterial large subunit ribosomal RNA", at positions 823 to 2925 of the family's 2925-position model. The record is from RNAcentral. Lineage: Bacteria; Pseudomonadati; Pseudomonadota; Gammaproteobacteria; Enterobacterales; Enterobacteriaceae.
GAAAGGCCAAUCAAACCGGGAGAUAGCUGGUUCUCCCCGAAAGCUAUUUAGGUAGCGCCUCGUGAAUUCAUCUCCGGGGGUAGAGCACUGUUUCGGCUAGGGGGCCAUCCCGGCUUACCAACCCGAUGCAAACUGCGAAUACCGGAGAAUGUUAUCACGGGAGACACACGGCGGGGGCUAAUGUCCGUCGUGAAGAGGGAAACAACCCAGACCGCCAGCUAAGGUCCCAAAGUCAUGGUUAAGUGGGAAACGAUGUGGGAAGGCCCAGACAGCCAGGAUGUUGGCUUAGAAGCAGCCAUCAUUUAAAGAAAGCGUAAUAGCUCACUGGUCGAGUCGGCCUGCGCGGAAGAUGUAACGGGGCUAAACCAUGCACCGAAGCUGCGGCAGCGACACCGUGUGUUGUUGGGUAGGGGAGCGUUCUGUAAGCCUGUGAAGGUGUGCUGUGAGGCAUGCUGGAGGUAUCAGAAGUGCGAAUGCUGACAUAAGUAACGAUAAAGGGGGUGAAAACCCCCCUCGCCGGAAGACCAAGGGUUCCUGUCCAACGUUAAUCGGGGCAGGGUGAGUCGACCCCUAAGGCGAGGCCGAAAGGCGUAGUCGAUGGGAAACGGGUUAAUAUUCCCGUACUUGGUGUUACUGCGAAGGGGGGACGGAGAAGGCUAUGUUGGCCGGGCGACGGUUGUCCCGGUUUAAGCGUGUAGGUAUGUGUUCCAGGUAAAUCCGGUUCACUUUAACACUGAGGCGUGACGACGAGGCACUACGGUGCUGAAGCAACAAAUGCCCUGCUUCCAGGAAAAGCCUCUAAGCAUCAGGUAACAUCAAAUCGUACCCCAAACCGACACAGGUGGUCAGGUAGAGAAUACCAAGGCGCUUGAGAGAACUCGGGUGAAGGAACUAGGCAAAAUGGUGCCGUAACUUCGGGAGAAGGCACGCUGACACGUAGGUGAAGUGAUUUACUCACGGAGCUGAAGUCAGCCGAAGAUACCAGCUGGCUGCAACUGUUUAUUAAAAACACAGCACUGUGCAAACACGAAAGUGGACGUAUACGGUGUGACGCCUGCCCGGUGCCGGAAGGUUAAUUGAUGGGGUCAGCGCAAGCGAAGCUCCUGAUCGAAGCCCCGGUAAACGGCGGCCGUAACUAUAACGGUCCUAAGGUAGCGAAAUUCCUUGUCGGGUAAGUUCCGACCUGCACGAAUGGCGUAAUGAUGGCCAGGCUGUCUCCACCCGAGACUCAGUGAAAUUGAACUCGCUGUGAAGAUGCAGUGUACCCGCGGCAAGACGGAAAGACCCCGUGAACCUUUACUAUAGCUUGACACUGAACAUUGAGCCUUGAUGUGUAGGAUAGGUGGGAGGCUUUGAAGUGUGGACGCCAGUCUGCAUGGAGCCGACCUUGAAAUACCACCCUUUAAUGUUUGAUGUUCUAACGUGGACCCGUGAUCCGGGUUGCGGACAGUGUCUGGUGGGUAGUUUGACUGGGGCGGUCUCCUCCUAAAGAGUAACGGAGGAGCACGAAGGUUGGCUAAUCCUGGUCGGACAUCAGGAGGUUAGUGCAAUGGCAUAAGCCAGCUUGACUGCGAGCGUGACGGCGCGAGCAGGUGCGAAAGCAGGUCAUAGUGAUCCGGUGGUUCUGAAUGGAAGGGCCAUCGCUCAACGGAUAAAAGGUACUCCGGGGAUAACAGGCUGAUACCGCCCAAGAGUUCAUAUCGACGGCGGUGUUUGGCACCUCGAUGUCGGCUCAUCACAUCCUGGGGCUGAAGUAGGUCCCAAGGGUAUGGCUGUUCGCCAUUUAAAGUGGUACGCGAGCUGGGUUUAGAACGUCGUGAGACAGUUCGGUCCCUAUCUGCCGUGGGCGCUGGAGAACUGAGGGGGGCUGCUCCUAGUACGAGAGGACCGGAGUGGACGCAUCACUGGUGUUCGGGUUGUCAUGCCAAUGGCACUGCCCGGUAGCUAAAUGCGGAAGAGAUAAGUGCUGAAAGCAUCUAAGCACGAAACUUGCCCCGAGAUGAGUUCUCCCUGAGACUUUAGGUCUCCUGAAGGAACGUUGAAGACGACGACGUUGAUAGGCCGGGUGUGUAAGCGCAGCGAUGCGUUGAGCUAACCGGUACUAAUGAACCGUGAGGCUUAACCUU